GAUUAACGCUGGCGGCAUGCCUAACACAUGCAAGUCGAAUGUGCUUUUUUUAGUAACAUGGCGGACGGCUGAGUAACGCGUAGGAACCUACCCUUAAGUCGGGUAUAACCCAUCGAAAGAUGGGAUAAUCCCCGAUAUGCCUCACGGUGAAAGAUUUAUCGCUUGAGGAGGGGCCUGCGUCCGAUUAGCUUGUUGGUGAGGUAAAGGCUCACCAAGGCUCUGAUCGGUAACUGGUUUGAGAGGAUGACCAGUCAGACUGGGACUGCGACACGGCCCAGACUUCUACGGAAGGCAGCAGUGAGGAAUUUUCCGCAAUGGGCGAAAGCCUGACGGAGCAAUGCCGCGUGCAGGAAGAAUGCCCUAGGGUUGUAAACUGCUUUUGUGAAGGAAGAUUAUGACGGUACUUCACGAAUAAGAGCCUGCUAACUACG
Molecule: ribosomal RNA, 431 nt
Filed under: uncultured bacterium
Lineage: Bacteria
Description: bacterial SSU rRNA
Rfam family: Bacterial small subunit ribosomal RNA
Source: RNAcentral